Molecule: ribosomal RNA, 104 nt
Filed under: Actinorhytis calapparia
Lineage: Eukaryota; Viridiplantae; Streptophyta; Magnoliopsida; Arecales; Arecaceae
Description: partial 26S ribosomal RNA
Rfam family: Eukaryotic large subunit ribosomal RNA
Source: RNAcentral
GACCCCAGGUCAGGCGGGGACACCCGCCGAGCUUAAGCAUAUCAAUAAGCGGAGGAGAAGAAACUUACGAGGAUUCCCCUAGUAACGGCGAGCGAACCGGGACC